GGUUAAAAAGCUCGUAGUUGGAUUUCUGCGGGGGCGGGGCGGCCGGAUGCUUAUAGCAUCUCGAGCUAGCACUUCCCCCGCAUCCUGCCGCGAACCGUGCUACCAUUAGUUUGGUGGCGCUGGGGAUCGGCUCGUUUACUUUGAGAAAAAUAGAGUGUUCAAAGCAGGCCACACGCCUUGAAUAAGUUAGCAUGGAAUAAUGAUAAAGGACUUCGGUUCUAUUUUGUUGGUGUUCGGGACUGAAGUAAUGAUUGAUAGGGACAGUUGGGGCGGUCAGUAUUCCAAAGCGAGAGGUGAAAUUCUUAGACCUUCGGAAGACUAACAGCUGCGAAAGCGUUCCGCAAGGAUGUUCCCUUUGAUCAAGAACGAAAGUUGGGGGAUCGAAGACGAUCAGAUACCGUCCUAGUCUUAACCAUAAACUAUGCCGACUGGAGAUCGGGGGUCGUUAACUUUGUGACGCCCCUCUGCAUCUUGAGAAAAAUCAAAGUCUUUGGGUUCCGGGGGGAGUAUGGUCCAAGGCUGAAACU
RNAcentral lists this ribosomal RNA (527 nucleotides) under uncultured marine eukaryote. RNAcentral's name for it is "bacterial SSU rRNA". It matches the Rfam family "Eukaryotic small subunit ribosomal RNA", at positions 617 to 1144 of the family's 1831-position model. The record is from RNAcentral.